GACGAACGCUGGCGGCGCGCCUAACACAUGCAAGUCGAACGGAGUCAAGAGGAGCUUGCUUUUCUUGACUUAGUGGCGAACGGGUGAGUAACGCGUGAGUAACCUGCCCUGGAGUGGGGGACAACAGUUGGAAACGACUGCUAAUACCGCAUAAGCCCACGGAUCUGCAUGGAUCUGCGGGAAAAGGAUUUAUUCGCUCUAGGGUGGACUCGCGUCCAAUUAGCUAGUUGGUGAGGUAACGGCCCACCAAGGCGACGAUUGGUAGCCGGACUGAGAGGUUGAACGGCCACAUUGGGACUGAGACACGGCCCAGACUCCUACGGGAGGCAGCAGUGGGGGAUAUUGCACAAUGGGGGAAACCCUGAUGCAGCGACGCCGCGUGGAGGAAGAAGGUUUUCGGAUUGUAAACUCCUGUCGUUAGGGACGAUAAUGACGGUACCUAACAAGAAAGCACCAGCUAACUACGUG
RNAcentral lists this ribosomal RNA (468 nucleotides) under uncultured bacterium. RNAcentral's name for it is "partial 16S ribosomal RNA". It matches the Rfam family "Bacterial small subunit ribosomal RNA", at positions 28 to 507 of the family's 1533-position model. The record is from RNAcentral.